AAAUUAUUGUAAAAAGGAGGUAAAUAAAUUGAGUCUGCAAUUCUUGACGAAGCAACUGGAAUAUGUUAAUCCUCCAUUUCUUUUACUUUAUAUUUCAUUUGAGGGUUAUCACCUUUUCUUUAGUAGUUGGUCAGAUACUUUGCAUGUAUUAAUGUUUUGACUCUGCUGGCUUUGGAGAAUCUAAUGGUAGUGCCAUUUGUUUGUGUUAACUGAGUUGAUUAAAAUUUCAUUGAAUCGUUUCUUUGUUUCCUAC
This 253-nucleotide long non-coding RNA is filed under the name Nicotiana benthamiana. RNAcentral's name for it is "long non-coding RNA (NBEN_LNC001862)". The record is from RNAcentral. Lineage: Eukaryota; Viridiplantae; Streptophyta; Magnoliopsida; Solanales; Solanaceae.